UGGUAACGUGCCUGUAGUUCCAGCUACUUGGGAGGCUGAGGCAGGAGAAUUGCUUGAGUCCAGGAGGCAGAGGUUGCAGUGAGUCGAGAUUGUGCCACUGCACUCUAGCCUGGGCAACAAAUCGAGGAGAAAAAAGUUUCGUUUUUAUGAGUAUGAGAGACUAUCACAGUACUGCCAGACUCCCUUGCAGCUAUGGACACUGAGAAAUAUUUGGCGUAGUUAACAUGUUGACGAAUACAGAGACAGGGC
This is a long non-coding RNA of Gorilla gorilla gorilla (western lowland gorilla), 249 nucleotides long. RefSeq lists it as uncharacterized. Lineage: Eukaryota; Metazoa; Chordata; Mammalia; Primates; Hominidae. The record is from RefSeq and is a predicted model, not a curated record. The transcript has 3 exons.